This 1120-nucleotide ribosomal RNA is filed under the name uncultured bacterium. Its description in RNAcentral is "bacterial SSU rRNA". It matches the Rfam family "Bacterial small subunit ribosomal RNA", at positions 207 to 1315 of the family's 1533-position model. The record is from RNAcentral.
AUGGCUUCGGCUAUCACUUUGGGAUGGACCUGCGGCGCAYUAUCUUGUUGGUAGGGUAACGGCCUACCGAGGCUGUGAUGCGUAUCCUAGUUGAGAGACUGAUCGGCCACCAUGGAACUGAGACACGGUCCAUACUCCUACGGGAGGCAGCAGUAGGGAAUCUUCCACAAUGGGCGCAAGCCUGAUGGAACAWCACCGCGUGAGUGAAGAAGGGUUUCGACUCGUAAAGCUCUGUUGUUAGAGAAGAACGUGCGUGAGAGCAACUGUUCACGCAGUGACGGUAUCUAACCAGAAAGUCACGGCUAACUACGUGCCAGCAGCCGCGGUAAUACGUAGGUGGCAAGCGUUAUCCGGAUUUAUUGGGCGUAAAGCGAGCGCAGGCGGUUUGAUAAGUCUGAUGUGAAAGCCUUUGGCUUAACCAAAGAAGUGCAUCGGAAACUGUCAGACUUGAGUGCAGAAGAGGACAGUGGAACUCCAUGUGUAGCGGUGGAAUGCGUAGAUAUAUGGAAGAACACCAGUGGCGAAGGCGGCUGUCUGGUCUGCAACUGACGCUGAGGCUCGAAAGCAUGGGUAGCGAACAGGAUUAGAUACCCUGGUAGUCCAUGCCGUAAACGAUGAGUGCUAGGUGUUGGAGGGUUUCCGCCCUUCAGUGCCGCAGCUAACGCAUUAAGCACUCCGCCUGGGGAGUACGACCGCAAGGUUGAAACUCAAAGGAAUUGACGGGGGCCCGCACAAGCGGUGGAGCAUGUGGUUUAAUUCGAAGCUACGCGAAGAACCUUACCAGGUCUUGACAUCUUGCGCCAACCCUAGAGAUAGGGCGUUUCCUUCGGGAACGCAAUGACAGGUGGUGCAUGGUCGUCGUCAGCUCGUGUCGUGAGAUGUUGGGUUAAGUCCCGCAACGAGCGCAACCCUUGUUACUAGUUGCCAGCAUUCAGUUGGGCACUCUAGUGAGACUGCCGGUGACAAACCGGAGGAAGGUGGGGACGACGUCAGAUCAUCAUGCCCCUUAUGACCUGGGCUACACACGUGCUACAAUGGACGGUACAACGAGUCGCGAACUCGCGAGGGCAAGCUAAUCUCUUAAAACCGUUCUCAGUUCGGACUGCAGGCUGCAACUAGC